GCCGCUGCCAAAACUGAGGUCUGAUGUGUGCUGUGUGUGCACUUCUGCAUAUGCUGCAUUUGCAUAUGUUAUUCCUGGUUUAAGGCUGAAUAAUGGAUUCAGGUUCUGAGCAGGAGCAACUCUACAGAAGUGAUUAGCCAGGCGAUGCUCAGUUCUGGGCUCAGAAAGUGAAGAGCGUCACCACCUAAAAAGCAAAGUAAAUUAAUUCCACGGUGUUAAAACUAAUUACAAGUAAACCCGAGAGAGCCAACGAUGGGAAUAAUGUGAAAUCCAGGAUUUGUUUCAGGAAGGGUCCACGGCGGAGAGGAGCCAGCAGCAAGGGUGGAAAUAAAAAGUAGAGCCCAAUCUGGACUGUCGGAAGUGUAAGACUCAUCCUAAACUGAAGAAGGAGCCAACAAACGUUGAAAGAAGACAGAGUGGGGCACGAGCCUGGGGAUGCUAGCUGGAUCCUCUGGAGGACAGCCCGGAGAUGCAGGGACCAGACACAAGCCCGCACAUCUGGAAGUCACUGCAGUGAUGUGAUCUAGAACAGAGGCUAAGAGCUUGGAGAGGAGUGACAGAGGCCAAGGUCAGGUGAGAGGUCUACUGACUGGAAGAGGGAGAGGAAGUCAGGACAAUGGACAGGGUCACGGCAGCGCGCCUGAGGCAUCUGGGGCGCAUCUUGCUUAUUAAACAAUGAUGCAAGGACCUGGCUAUUUCUGCCAGAAGCUCUGUGGGUGAGUCCACCAAACUGCUGGGGUGGAGAACCACUGAUGUUUGGGGCCAAGGUGGCUGAAGUGGGCUCUGAACUGAGGCAAAGAGCAGGGAAGAAGAGGUCAUUGGAGGAAGCCUGCUGGGCUGAGUUUGCAGUGCCUCCAGCACAUCCUUCUGGAGAGGUUGGUUCAUCCACAAGAGUGGAGGAGCCACCUUCACCAGGAAGAGCUUCUGUCAAGGUAGAGAUGGCAUCUGUCCUAGGAAGCUCAGGCUGCUGUGAAAAAAUACCAGACACCAAGUGGCUUAAAAAGCAGGCAUCUCUUUCCUUACAGUCCUGAGGCCCUGCAGUUCAAGAUCAAGAUGUGCUCAUAGCUGCUGUCUACUGAGACCCCUCUCCCUGGCUUUCGGGCAGUGAUUUCUUGCUGUGCCCUCACGUGCCCGCAUUCCUGGCGUCUCUUUUUGUCCUAAUCUCCCCUUCUUAUGAGGACAUCCUUCGGAUCAGAUUAGGGCCCACCCUGAUGGCCUCAUUUUAGCUUAAUCGUGUUCUUAAAGGCCUUAUCUCUAAAUACAGUCCAUUCUGAGAUACCAGGUGUUGAAGUGGGGAGGCAUAUAAUUCAGCUGUAAAUGCUUCUUCGUGGUGAUGGGCAAAUGUCAGCUUUGCCCACUGAGCCCUGAAGGAACCACCGGUCCACAGGUCCCAUCUGAUAAGGAGACCUUCUAGUUUGGGGGCAAGGGGGUGGGUCUUGCUGGGUUAACCUCCCUGUAGCCCACCUCCCCCAGACCAUGGAUGGAUCGACGCUUGCUGUGUGUCUGAUGAACCAUCUCAUUUCAUCCUCACACCAGCCAGCAUGCACUAUCUGGCAUCACUCUCUCUGUUUCUAAGAUGAAAACAGGUUUGGCAUGAAGGUGUGACCUGCUAGAGGUCCCCCUGCAGGGAGACCUUGACCUUGGUUCAUCUGGACUCUCCAGAGCCCGUGACCUUAACCCCGUACCGUACAGCUUCUCCUCGAAUUAUUUGAACCAGAAUUUCUUUGGCUUAGAAACAUCUCUGAUUCUUUUAGAACUAAAAGUUCUUAAGAAUUCACAGGUCAAGGAGGUGACCUUCUGUCAAAGGUUUCAAACUCUUUCUUAUCCCUGUGACUCUGAAAACCCUUCACAAUGUCGUAGAUGUGACGAUGGGUGGCUGGGACGUUCUCUGGUUGGCCUCACAGCAGGGUCAUUCCCGGUCUUCUCAGGAGCCCCAACAGCAAGAGAGAGAAGCAAAGGAGAGAUAAUGGCCCCAGGGGCGGCACAGAAAAGAGGCGGCAAUGACCGGGGAAGGGUAUUUUGAUUUCUGUCUCCCAGCAACACCCAGGGGACUGUUCCAGAGAAUGAACUGAGGUGAGUAAGUUAUGUGGUUCAGGAGUUGCAAAAGUGGUCCAUGCCUGGUGGUGCUGGCAUAGACGUUGAGGGAGUAGAGAAAUCUCCCUGGGCAUCACAGCAUGGACGUGAGGCAAACAGCAUCCAAGGAGUCAACACAAACAUCUAUAUAUUUUUUUAAUUUUUUUGUCUUUUUCAGGCCACUCUUGCAGCAUAUGGAAGUUCCCAGGCUAAGGAUCAAAUCAAAGCUGCAGCUGCCUGCCGACACCACAGCCACAGCAACACCAGAUCCAAGUGUCGUCUGCGACCUACACCACAGCUCAUGGCAACACCGGAUCCUUAACCCACUGAGCGAGGCCACAGAUCAAACCUGCAUCGUCAUGGAUACUAGACGGGCUUGUUACCGCUGAGUCACAAUAGAGCCUCCCAAACAUCCUUAUCUUGGUCACCAGCAGCCAGUCACUUUCAACCAUAGAACUGACCCCUUGGUGGAAGACGGAUGGUUUGCCAACUUCAUAUAAGAGACAUCACUACUGGAGUUCCCUGGUGGCCUAGUGGGUUAAGGAUCCAACGUUGUCACUGUGGUGGCAUGUGUUUGAUCCCUGGCCCAGGAACUUCUGCAUGCUGUGGGGGCAGCCAAAUGAGAAAAAAAACAAAAAAAA
Molecule: long non-coding RNA, 2714 nt
Filed under: Sus scrofa (pig)
Lineage: Eukaryota; Metazoa; Chordata; Mammalia; Artiodactyla; Suidae
Description: lncRNA (ENSSSCG00025066688.1, ENSSSCG00035009146.1)
Source: RNAcentral